This 465-nucleotide ribosomal RNA is filed under the name uncultured bacterium. Its description in RNAcentral is "partial 16S ribosomal RNA". It matches the Rfam family "Bacterial small subunit ribosomal RNA", at positions 338 to 795 of the family's 1533-position model. The record is from RNAcentral.
CCUACGGGAGGCUGCAGUGGGGAAUUUUGCGCAAUGCUCGUAAGAGUGACGCAGCGACGCCGCGUGAAUGACGAAGGCCUUCGGGUCGUAAAGUUCUUUCGACAGGGAAGAAAAUGCCUAUAAGUAACUGUGUAUGUAUUGACGGUACCUGUAUAAGCAGCCCCGGCUAACUCCGUGCCAGCAGCCGCGGUAAUACGGAGGGGGCGAGCGUUGUUCGGAGGGACUGGGCGUAAAGAGCACGUAGGCGGUGUUGUAAGUCAUUAGUCAAAGACUAGAGCUCAACUUUAGUAAGGCUAGUGAUACUAUAAUACUAGAGUAUCAGAGAGGAUUGCAGAAUUGCUGGUGUAGCGGUGAAAUGCGUAGAUAUCAGGAGGAAUACCGUUAGCGAAGGCGGCAAUCUGGCUGGAAACUGACGCUGAGGUGCGAAAGCGUGGGUAGCAAACAGGAUUAGAUACCCUUGUAGUC